CCUACGGGGGGCUGCAGUGAGGAAUAUUGGUCAAUGGUCGCGAGCCUGAACCAGCCAAGCCGCGUGAGGGAUGAAGGUACAAUGUAUCGUAAACCUCUUUUGUCAGGGAGCAAAGGCCGAGACGUGUCCCCGUCUGAGAGUACCUGAAGAAAAAGCAUCGGCUAACUCCGUGCCAGCAGCCGCGGUAAUACGGAGGGUGCAAGCGUUAUCCGGAUUUAUUGGGUGUAAAGGGAGCGUAGACGGUAAAGUAAGUCUGGGGUGAAAGGCCGGGGACCAACCCCGGGACUGCUGUGGAAACUAUUGAACUUGAGUGCAGGAGAGGUAAGCGGAAUGCCUAGUGUAGCGGUGAAAUGCGUAGAUAUCAGGAGGAACACCGGUGGCGAAGGCGGCUUACUGGACUGUAACUGACGUUGAGGCACGAAAGCGUGGGGAGCAAACAGGAUUAGAUACCCGUGUAGUC
RNAcentral lists this ribosomal RNA (460 nucleotides) under uncultured bacterium. Its description in RNAcentral is "partial 16S ribosomal RNA". It matches the Rfam family "Bacterial small subunit ribosomal RNA", at positions 338 to 795 of the family's 1533-position model. The record is from RNAcentral.